CGCAUUAUGGGUGACACAUCUUCCGUUUUCAUGUUUACUUUGUGGAAGCGCUGCCAUGCGGUUAGCACGGGAUUUCUUCUCCUGCACGUACAGUAAGUAUUAGCACGGGAUUUCUUCUCCUGCACGUACAGUAACGAUUCAGGGCCUGGGGUUUGAAGGAGGAAGUCCCCAGAUGGAGGCGCUGUGUGAGUAUGAGUUUUGUUUUGUUUUUAUUUGUACUAUGCACCACAUUUGGUGUAGAUUAAUGUAUUACUACUGACAGUCUCCCAUACCGCUACUUUUAUGCAAUCAAAUUAAAAAAAAAAUUAAAAUAAAAUAAUAUUAAAAUAGUAUGGGCGACUGUCUGUAGUAAUGCCCUAAUGGAGGGUGGGACCUCAAAAAAAAAAAAUGUAAAAAAAUAAAUUAAAAAAAUAAUUAAUAAUUAACAAGGUCACGUCGCAGAGACACUUGGGGUGUUCAUGUCCAGGCUUGCAGGUAGCCUAAAUGAUGAGACAAUAUUAGCUGAAUGGUCUGUUCUCAUCAUGUAUUUUCUUACUUUGACAAUGUUAGGACAUGUUAUUUAUUUAUUUGUUUAUUGCUUAUUUUUAUUAAAAAACCGAGUGGGACAGUCCACCCUUCCUUAGUAUUUCUUCAGCUUUUUUCAAACGGGGUAGCGGAUACAGAGAGUACCACGGCGGGGCUUAAACUCCCACCUGCGUGAGCUUUCAACCGGCACCUACCCCUAGCACCCCACCUACGGGUGCACUGACUCAGAGCGUGUGCCGUUGGUGCUGGGAGCGCCCCGUGGGCAGAUGGUCUGGGCCCCAUAGGCAGAUGGUCUGGACCCCUUGUAUCCUCUGAGUCCCUGAACAGGUUUCUGCUGAGAUCCUCCAUGACGACUGAGAGGAUCCUCUAUGGCCCAGCAGCCGAUGCACCAGCAUCCGUUGGAGGAUUAGAAGCGAGAAGUGAUCACACUGCCCAUCCCACAGAGGAGGAUACCUGCUGUCCAUGCGCAGCACCCCCCAGAGAACCCCAGAAUGUUUUUCACUUUUGUUUUUCAUUUGGUUUUGUUUGAUUGAGGAAAUCAAUAAAUAUGACUGCCUGGUAUUUUA
Anguilla anguilla (European eel) is the source of this 1091-nucleotide long non-coding RNA. RefSeq lists it as uncharacterized. The record is from RefSeq and is a predicted model, not a curated record. The transcript has 2 exons. NCBI's taxonomy places the organism in Eukaryota, Metazoa, Chordata, Actinopteri, Anguilliformes, Anguillidae.